RNAcentral lists this ribosomal RNA (497 nucleotides) under uncultured bacterium. RNAcentral describes it as "partial 16S ribosomal RNA". It matches the Rfam family "Bacterial small subunit ribosomal RNA", at positions 28 to 507 of the family's 1533-position model. The record is from RNAcentral.
GACGAACGCUGGCGGCGUGCCUAAUACAUGCAAGUUGAGCGCUGAAGGUUGGUACUUGUACCAACUGGAUGAGCAGCGAACGGGUGAGUAACGCGUGGGGAAUCUGCCUUUGAGCGGGGGACAACAUUUGGAAACGAAUGCUAAUACCGCAUAAAAACUUUAAACACAAGUUUUAAGUUUGAAAGAUGCAAUUGCAUCACUCAAAGAUGAUCCCGCGUUGUAUUAGCUAGUUGGUGAGGUAAAGGCUCACCAAGGCGAUGAUACAUAGCCGACCUGAGAGGGUGAUCGGCCAAAUUGGGAAUGAGACCAGGCCCAAACUCCUACGGGAGGCAGCAGUAGGGAAUCUUCGGCAAUGGACGAAAGUCUGACCGAGCAACGCCGCGUGAGUGAAGAAGGGUUUCGGAUCGUAAAACUCUGUUGGUAGAGAAGAACGUUGGUGAGAGUGGAAAGCUCAUCAAGUGACGGUAACUACCCAGAAAGGGACGGCUAACUACGUG